UUAGUCUCACCUUCCCCUCAAAGUCGGGCGGCAAAAUUCCAUUGCCCGCUGAAUUCAUGAUCCCGGGUCGUGUCGGACUCCUAUUCAGAACUCUAUCCCGAUUUUCUUUCCAAAGACCAGCGCCUUUCUCAUCAUCUUCGGCUGCGCACCCUAAAUUUUCUAGCUGUUUCUCGGAUGAAGCGGAAGGCGGUAGCGCCGUUUACCGACACGCGCUCAAAUGUCAGCGUCCAACGACGAUACGGUGGCAACCGGAGUUGCAUAACUGUGUUAGCCUUAUUGGAUUAGUGGGUUAUCCCCCUGAAGAAUUUCCGCGUAAACCCAAUGAUUCUGGCUGUGUCGCUUACACCUGUCUUCACGUUGUCCCUUCUCCUUAUUCGAAUGGAGGGCUUAGGAUAAUACUAAACAUGAGAGGUGACAUAGCAGAAGUGUGUAAAAAAAAUCUGAAGCGAAAUGAUUUUAUUUAUGUUUCGGGACAUUUAGAGUCUUACACAAAGAUUGAUCAGAAUGGGAAACCCAUUUUAUGUUACAAGGUGAUCGUAAAAGAUCUGAAUUAUGUUCAAAGACAUGGUCAAGGUGUCUCCUGCCCAGAAUCUGAGGAAUCAAAAUCAGGAGAAGGUGAAGCUGAUAUUGAUAUGGAAGCAAAUAAAUAUUAUUUGUGGCAGUUGUACUUCUCCAACCCAUAUGAAUGGUGGGAUAACAGGAAAAAUAAGUUAUCUCCACGAAUGCCUGAUUUUAAGCACAAGGAUACCCGUGAAGCUCUAUGGUUGGAACCAAAUGAUCCGCCAUGGAUCAAAAAACAACUUCAGUUGCUUGAUUCAAAGAUGGCAGAACAAGGACUACAGAGUCAUACAGGUUCUCAUUCUUGUGUUUCCAUGUGGGUUUAUGAUGGCAAAGAAUAAGUUUGUGGGACUUAAAAACUAGAGGAGGAAAGGGCAGAGGAAAUUGAAGUCAGUUUUUGAGAUCUGACUCAUGGCUGCAUGCUGGAAGGGGACGUAUUUGGUUGCAUAGGUCCCAGCUACACAUCACAGUGACAGAGGUCUACCAAACAUAGAAUUACUGUGUUGGAUUUUGUGCUAUCAAAUAUUAGUAAUUCUUCUGGUAGUUGAGCCAAGAAUUCUUAUGCGGGCCAUGUUUGUGGUGCAUAAGAAAAAAUGUACAAGGUUGCCUCAUUCUUAAUGGUUUCAAAAACCAAAAUGGGUUAGGGAUACCAGGUGCAGAGAGCCUUUCCAUCUAAGAAUUUUCUCAGUUUUCUGCCAUCAGCUCAACAAUUUCCUCAGUUGGGACCUAAGAAGUAGAAAGAUUGAAACUUGAAAGGAUGCCAGCCCUAGGCAUUGUCAUCCGUUAGCAGAAUCGGAACAAUCCACUAAGGAGGCGCGUAUUAUCUUGAAAAGAAGUUGAAGAUUGGAUCUGGGAUUGAAACUAAAGCUGGUCAGUUUAUAAUAGGGUGAAAGAAGAUUUUCAAUGCUUCAUGCUAUUGCAAACUGAGGUUUCACUGUCCAAGUUUCCAGGUAAACAGACUUUGUAUAUGAUACUUACACCCAGCUUCAUUGAUUUCAAUAAAUCAGGAUUUAGAAUGGUUGGAUUUUCGAAGUUAACAGAGGAACUAUUCGAGGUGAAAGUUCAAUUGUUUGGUCUGUCAGUGAUUGUUUUUCUGGAAAGGGCCAAGUAAAUGCUGUUCAGUCCUUGGAUUAUGCAUUGAAAUGAAUGGAAUUCAUGAGAAAGAGAAACAACUAAAAAGUGA
Mangifera indica (mango) is the source of this 1741-nucleotide RNA transcript. It is a transcript of the gene named protein OSB1, mitochondrial-like, with no coding region annotated. Lineage: Eukaryota; Viridiplantae; Streptophyta; Magnoliopsida; Sapindales; Anacardiaceae. The record is from RefSeq and is a predicted model, not a curated record. The transcript has 5 exons.